This 1758-nucleotide ribosomal RNA is filed under the name Triticum aestivum (bread wheat). RNAcentral describes it as "partial small subunit ribosomal RNA". Lineage: Eukaryota; Viridiplantae; Streptophyta; Magnoliopsida; Poales; Poaceae. The record is from RNAcentral.
AUGUCGCCGCAGGCGGCGGCGGCGCUCGGGUUCCUCCUGCCCACGUGCUGGGAGAUCGAGGUCACCUGCGCCGCGGCCAUGCUCAUCGUCGCGCUCUACGCCGCCUACGAGCUCCUCGGCCCGCGCCCCCCGCCCGCGGGCGCCGACGACCUCGCCCUCGCGCGGGACCUCGACGGCGCCGACAAGUACUCCACGGGGCCGUCGGCGUACGUGGUCAAGCUGGAGCUGCUAGCCGCGAAGAAUUUGAUCGCGGCGAACUUGAAUGGGACCUCGGACCCUUAUGCACUCAUCACCUGCGGCGAAGAGAAGCGUUUCAGCUCCAUGGUUCCUGGCUCAAGAAACCCAAUGUGGGGAGAGGAAUUCAAUUUUGUUGUUGACUCUCUUCCUGUAAAGAUACAGGUGAAAAUAUAUGAUUGGGACAUUGUAUGGAAGAGCACAACACUUGGUUCUGUUACUGUUCCAGUCGAGUCUGAGGGGCAGAGUGGACCGGUUUGGUAUACACUUGACAGCUCAUCAGGUCAGGUUUGUCUCCAUAUUAAGGCGAUCAAGGUUCAUGAGAGUUCCUCCAGGGCUCUAAACAACACUGCCGAGGCUGAUGCUCGUAGAAGGAUUUCCUUAGACAAACAAGGCCCUACUGUAGUUCACCAAAAGCCAGGUCAUUUGCAGACAAUUUUUGGGCUCCCUCCAGAUGAGGUUGUUGAACACAGCUAUUCAUGUGCACUUGAGAGAUCAUUUCUAUACCACGGUCGCAUGUAUGUUUCUUCAUGGCACAUUUGCUUCCAUUCAAACGUCUUCUCUAAGCAGAUUAAGGUUAUGCUCCCUUUGAGAGAUAUUGAUGAGAUAAGAAGAAGCCAGCAUGCAGUUAUUAAUCCAGCAAUUACGAUAUUCCUUCGAACGGGAGCUGGAGGACAUGGAGUUCCUCCCUUAGGAUGCCCUGAUGGAAGGGUUAGGUACAAAUUUGCAUCGUUUUGGAACAGAAACCACACAUUUAGAGCAUUGCAACGAGCUAUGAAGAACUUCCAUGCAAUGAUAGAGGCUGAGAAGCAGGAACGUGCUCAAUCUGCAUUGCGCGCACUCAGUAGCUCAAGAAAAAAUAGCAGCAAGGAGAUAAAUGUUCCAGAAGAUUGUGCUGAUUUAACAGGGCAACUACAACCUUUUGUCAAAGAAGAAGUUCUAGUCUCUGUAUUUAAUGGAACAUUCCCGUGCACUGCAGAACAGUUUUUUAAUAAUCUAUUAAGUGAUGACUCAAGUUACAUAACAGAAUAUAGGACAGCUCGUCAGGAUAAAGAUAUCAACCUGGGCCAGUGGCAUGUUGCAGACGAGUAUGAUGGUCAGGUGAGAGAACUUAACUGUAAAUCCAUAUGCCACAGUCCGAUGUGCCCUCCAUAUUCAGCAAUGACAGAGUGGCAGCAUAUGGUUCUUUCAGCUAACAAAACCGAUCUGGUAUUUGAGACUGUGCAACAAGUACAUGAUGUUCCAUUUGGUUCCUUUUUUGAGGUACACUGUAGAUGGUCUGUGAAAACUAUCGAUUCUAGUUCGUGCAGUGUUAACAUAAGUGCUGGUGCACAUUUCAAGAAAUGGUGCAUAAUGCAGUCUAAAAUAAAGAGUGGCGCUGUGGACGAGUUAAAGAAGGAAGUUCGAGAAAUGCUAGAAUUUGCGGAGUCGUAUAUGCAAGAGGUUAGCUCUCCUAACCAACAAGACAAAGAUCUUGGCCAGGAUACGGCACCAGACACCGAUGACAUACCUGGUGAUCAGUAA